Molecule: ribosomal RNA, 1267 nt
Filed under: metagenome
Description: bacterial LSU rRNA
Rfam family: Bacterial large subunit ribosomal RNA
Source: RNAcentral
UGCCUGUACCAUAACCGACACAGGUGGGUAGGUAGAGUAUACUAAGGGGCGCGAGAUAACUCUCUCUAAGGAACUCGGCAAAAUGACUCCGUAACUUCGGGAGAAGGAGUGCCUUAUUUAUAAGGUUGCAAUAACAAGAUCCAAGCAACUGUUUAUCAAAAACACAGGUCUCCGCUAAGUCGUAAGACGAUGUAUGGGGGCUGACGCCUGCCCAGUGCCAGAAGGUUAAAGAAGUUGGUUAGUGUAUGCGAAGCUGAUGACUGAAGCCCUGGUGAACGGCGGCCGUAACGAUAACGGUCCUAAGGUAGCGAAAUUCCUUGUCGGGUAAGUUCCGACCCGCACGAAAGGCGUAAUGAUUUGGAUACUGUCUCGGAGAGAGGCUCGGUGAAAUAGACUUGUCUGUGAAGAUGCGGACUACCUGCACCAGGACAGAAAGACCCUAUGAAGCUUUACUGUAACUUGAAAUUGGAAUUGGACUUUGCUUGCGCAGUAUAGGUGGGAAGCGUUGAAGAUAUUCUUGCGGGAGUAUUGGAGCUAUCAGUGAGAUACCACUCUUGUAAUGUUAGAUUUCUAACUUUGAACCAUAAUCUGGUCAAAGAACAGUUUCAGGUGGGCAGUUUGACUGGGGCGGUCGCCUCCCAAAUGGUAACGGAGGCGUACAAAGGUUUCCUCUGAACGGAUAGAAAUCGUAUCUAGAGUGUAAAGGCAUAAGGAAGCUUGACUGUGAGACCUACAAGUCGAGCAGGGACGAAAGUCGGUCUUAGUGAUCUGACGGUACUGAGUGGAAAGGCCGUCACUCAACGGAUAAAAGUUACUCUAAGGAUAACAGGCUGAUCUCCCCCAAGAGUUCACAUCGACGGGGAGGUUUGGCACCUCGAUGUCGGCUCAUCGCAUCCUGGGGCGGUAGUACGUCCCAAGGGUUGGGCUGUUCGCCCAUGAAAGCGGUACGCGAGCUGGGUUCAGAACGUCGUGAGACAGUUCGGUCCAUAUCCGGUGUAGGCGUUAGAAUAUUGAGAGGAGCCUUCUUUAGUACGAGAGGACCGAGAAGGACACACCGCUGGUGUACCAGUUAUCGUGCCAACGGUAAACGCUGGGUAGCUAUGUGUGGAGUGGAUAACCGCUGAAAGCAUCUAAGUGGGAAGCCCACCUCAAGAUGAGUAUUCUCAUCACUAUAAGUGAGUAAGGUCACGGUAAGACUAACCGUUUGAUAGGCAUUAAGUGUAAAUGUAGUAAUGCAUGUGCUGAGAUGUCCUAACAGACCGAGGAC